This 468-nucleotide ribosomal RNA is filed under the name uncultured bacterium. Its description in RNAcentral is "partial 16S ribosomal RNA". It matches the Rfam family "Bacterial small subunit ribosomal RNA", at positions 28 to 507 of the family's 1533-position model. The record is from RNAcentral.
GACGAACGCUGGCGGCGUGCUUAACACAUGCAAGUCGAACGGAAAGGCCCUGCUUUUGUGGGGUGCUCGAGUGGCGAACGGGUGAGUAACACGUGAGUAACCUGCCCUUGACUUUGGGAUAACUUCAGGAAACUGGGGCUAAUACCGGAUAGGAGCUCCUGCUGCAUGGUGGGGGUUGGAAAGUUUCGGCGGUUGGGGAUGGACUCGCGGCUUAUCAGCUUGUUGGUGGGGUAGUGGCUUACCAAGGCUUUGACGGGUAGCCGGCCUGAGAGGGUGACCGGCGACAUUGGGACUGAGAGACGGACCAGACUCCUACGGGAGGCAGCAGUGGGGAAUAUUGCACAAUGGGCGGAAGCCUGAUGCAGAAACGCCGCGUGCGGGAUGACGGCCUUCGGGUUGUAAACAGCUUUCGCCUGUGACGAAGCGUGAGUGACGGUAAUGGGUAAAGAAGCACCGGCUAACUACGUG